This is a long non-coding RNA of Gasterosteus aculeatus aculeatus (three-spined stickleback), 4132 nucleotides long. The record is from Ensembl. Lineage: Eukaryota; Metazoa; Chordata; Actinopteri; Perciformes; Gasterosteidae.
GGGGUACUCUAAUGUUUUAUCACAUCAAAUAAAGUUUCUCUCCACGAAUUUUACCAUUUUAAAACCCAACCGAACCCCCCCGGACAGACACCGCGCCGCAUCCCAUUUAGCGCUCCCUUUCCUUUCACGUUAAUAAAAGCAGACAGCGGGAAUAAUACAGUUAACCCGGGAUAUACCGGGAUAACUCUGAGCUGCUGCCCUCAUCAAGUGAGCACGUGCGCUGCUCACCACCUCGCACUUGUGUUGUCACGACUUCUGACCCGUUUCCACCGGUUAGCGCCACACGGAGGAGGCAUCAAGGUGGAGACGUGGAGGAACCUCGGUGGCUUCCUUCGGACGGCGCAGGUUGGAGGAGCCUGGUGGAGGAGGCUGGUGGAGGAGGCUGAUGGAGGCGGCGCAACCUCUUCUCCACCAUCAGCCUUCCUCCAACUUAACUCCACGCGACACAAACUCCUCGUGGGAGCCCACAGGUGUGAUCAUCAUGCAUGAAUGGAGACUUGUGGACAAACUCAGCUGUCCGUCUCAUCUCAAACCCCAUAUCGGCGCGCAUUUAGUCUCUAUAGCUGCAGAAACCUCUGGACAGAUGUUGUCACAGCCGCAGAGACACUUUUGAACAAACACGGGGAACUAUUUCGAAGAUCGAUAGUCUGAAGAAUGAACAGUUAACCAAAAGUCAAUCUAGUAGUAAUUGUUCUCACACUCGCAUAAAAGCAUAAACGUCCGUAAAAACUACUACUAAUGAUACAAAUAACAAGCGGUCACAAUCGGCCAGUAUUCCGCUCCGAUUAGGCGGAAGUGAUCAGUUUACUUCCCCUUUAGUUCCUGCGCGCUCGUUCAGACACAGACUGGACCGGUGAUGCGUUCACUGUCUGUUGCGUUUGCGGGACAAAGUGUUUCCGCGCCACACGGGGGCAGAAACACUGAGGGAAUCCACGCACCUUCACUCACCGGGCCAGGUGGGUUUCACCGGGAUUAUGGACGCCUACAGUUAAAGGUGUGACUUCGUACCAACAGGUGUAAUGUUGAUAAUGACAAAAUUACGUUGUUUAUAAUAAAUAUAGCAAUUUGCUUCAUUACAUGAAUUAUGUUGAUUGUUCCUUCAAUUUUCAUUGCAAAUAACUUUUCAUCUUUCCUUUUUUUAGAGAUAUUUUGUGAGAUACAAAAUAAUAAUAAUUGUAAUUGCCUUGUUGUUUUAAAUCGCCUUGUUGUCCCAAACAAUCUUGAUUAAUAAUAAUCAACUAACUCACGUGUUGUUUUCGAUUUUUCUUUUCCGAAGUUAAGGUCCGUGGAUGUAAAUUAAAUAAAAUCGAUAACUAAUUAUGAUAAAUAAGUAAAUUAAUAAAGUUGUACCAUGCCGACUAACUGUCAAAACAUUAACACAAGCAAUGUAAACAAAAUGAUUUAUUGAAACUGAAUAAACUUUCUUAGUUUAUACAUUUGCGAAUAAAACCUGCACUUCCUUUUACUCAAGUUUGUAUUCUCAAAAUGAUCCGAUAAGAUUAGAUUUAACUAUUAUUCUAAAGAUGAUGAUUAAAAAUCAAUAAAUUACUGUUGAAGCAAAUAUAUUUUUGACAUUCGCAUAUUUAAGCUUCACGGAUCACAAAGUGAGACGUUUCUUCUCAGCUGGUCGCUUUUUUAUUUGGAGGUUUGCUGAUGACACGUAGGUGUGCUGAGCUCUGUAAAUACUGACCCCAUAACUGAAGAAUACCCCCCCACAACGGAAUUAACCCCCCCAAACGAACUGCCGGCUGUGAGCAGCACUUUAAAAAAGAAGAUUCACACCAAUUUAAAACAUCUCAGGACCUUCAGACAUGAUUAAAAAAACCCGCAGCGCAAUAUGACCUCCAUUAUUUUUACUGCGCAGUAAAACGCGGGUGGCCGCCAGGGCCCAUUACUUCACAUUACUUCACAUUACUUCACAUUACUUCACAUUACUUCACAUUACUUCACAUUAUUUCCCCACUUUAUAUUACGGAACACGUUGCACGUGGAAACGUUCGCCCACAAAGUCCCACGAGGACGCGAGUCCCGAUGUGAGUUUCAUUGCGCGGAUAUUAGCUGUAAGUUGUGCGGUUGAUGAUGAAGGAAAACCGCGUUACUAUUUCCAGCUGCAGCUCCUUUAUUGAUAAACGGCAAAAAAAACUAAAAAAACAAUCGAUAAGAACAAUAUUAGACAGUCGGAAAUGUGUCUUUCUGCAAAUCAGGAAUCAGGAAAAUCUCUCUGAAGGCAACAGGUGUUUUUUUCUGGUGAACUGAACCAACUGAGUUUUUAUGUCUUUACCUCCAGGAUGAGCGUGAUUGUGCAGUGUGUGUGUGUGUGUGUGUGUGUGUGUGUGUGUGGGGGGGGGGGGGGGGCUUCUCACUAAACCACAUGUGCUCCCAGCUAAGCAUUAGUGGACGGAUUUGGAAACUACAUCUGAAAGGGCAUUUUCCUUUUGAAAAUGAAAAAUACCAAAGGGUCAGAUAAUCUCCAGGAAUCAUGAUUAGACCAAAGUAAACGAGCGCUGAGCUCACUCAGCCAUUGUGUUUGCAAUGUUACACCAUGUAGGCUGCGUGCUAAUAAGACUUUAGACCCAUUGGGCCUAAAUAUCAAAAAAGCUUCGGCGCACGUGGCCGACAGGGCGGAAAAGAAACGCACAAAGGAAAAAGUUUGGAUUAACAUUCGUCUCAGCAAUCGUCCGACAUUUCAACGGACGGACUCACGUGUGUUCGUUUGACCUUUUAACUAAAUGUCCCGCUUUUGUUUCUACUCGGGCGACAUGAUGUUAGCUCACGCGAGUCUGACUGAUCAUCGUGUCCUGAGUCGAGUCUUCAAGUCCCAAAUAGACCAUUGUGCACUUAAAAGAUUGCAAAUGAAGUAAAUUUGUUGUGUUUUUUGGCUUGUCACUGUUUUUAAUUGCUGACUUAUUAAGGGAAAUACAAGCAAUGUGUUUGUUUUAUGGGGUGGGGGGGGGCAGUCCACCCCAAACAACCAACUAAAGAAGGAUGACUUACUGGUUCCCAGAUGGUUUAUGUGUUUGACCUCGUAACACAAAGUGCUCGUGACCUCUCGUCACAGGUCGUAUGCAUAAACGUUGUUAGUAGUUCUGUGAAAAGAGUGAUUACCUCUCCUCAGAUUGUUUACUUUGGAGAACUUUUAGAGGCUUAAAGAGGAGAAACGGGAGUUCUUACAAAGAAACAGCAAGAAAUAGUCGAAAAGUUCCUCAUUAAACAUGGUUUUGUUUCAAUAAAAAUAUUCAGUAAUUUAUUUUUUUCUUUUUCCUUUUGUAACUAUUUUUACCAUCUCAGAACACUUUAUAAGGUCCCGCCCCCCCAGGUUGGGAAACACCUGUUUAAGGAAAACAGUUCAAAUACACAUUCUGGAAAAUAUACAUUUCUUUUAUUUUUUGUCAUUAAUUUUUGUGCCAAAGAAUAAAAGCUCAAUUUUCCAUUUACAGUGUGAAAUCCCAGAAACAAACAUCUCACAUUUGUAACAAAAUAAAACUCCAGAGUUAAAAAGAGAAAAACAUGUUGUAUUUUAAAUGAAAAUGUUUCCCUGAAGCGACGCUAAAGAACUCCGGCUUCCUGUCGGGACUUUAUUUUGGCGGGAGAGGCUGAUCUGGUGAGACCCAUUCACGUAUUAUUCCUCUCAGAGUCCCUCGCAUUAUUUUUAGCAGCUGAAAGUGGCUGUUUUCAAAAUAAGUUCCUGACCGUAUGUUUAUCAAAAGAUCCGCGUGCCACAGCGGUGGCAUUUCCCUGUGUGUGUGUGUGUGUGUGUGUGUGUGUGUGUGUUGCCUCUGUAACUGCAGGCCAUGGUGACAAAUGGAUUCCACGUUUUUCAGGGAAACACGCUGGAGGCCCCGGGGAGCUUUGUUGUUUAUGAAGAACACGUGAAACCGAUCAAAUCUGAAUUAUCUUCCUGUUGUUCCAGCUUUUGUCGUUGGCAGUUUUCAGUUCUCUCGCCAGCGGUGUCACCACCCAGCGAGCAGGUCGGUGCAUGAAAAGGUAAGAGGGGGGGGGGGGGGCUGCAGACAAACACAUGCAGUGAACUCACAUGCUCCCCUGGAGAUCACAUGCUGGUGCACCCACACUCUGAAGGAGAUUCAACCGGUUUGUCACUUUCACUUAUUAUGUGGCAAAGACAUCACGUACA